UAUUAAUCAACUCAGGAGAAAACAGGGAGAGAGACUUUUGAAAGUGAACAGCGAAUGGGGCUUCCAAAGAGCACGGAGGAACAGAAGAAUAAAGUUGCUGAACAUCAAGACAUUUGUCGUAAACAUCUACAAAUAACUGGCUUUGAUCUAAGUCUCAGGAGAAUGUGGAUAAGCACAUGGAUAAGAAUCCAGUUUACUGAAGUUAAGAAUGAGAGACUAUGAACUCUACUGUUAUGUCACUGACCCACUUCUCCCAUGUGCUCUAUAAUUGCCUAUCAGUGAAUAAGCUGUCUGAACAAUUAGUGUUUCCGCAAAAACUUAAACCACUUUGGCAGUUGUGCGAAAACUACAAUACAGUGUCAGUCUCAUUAAAUUAGUAAGAAUUCAAAACUAAUUGCCUUGUUGUCAAAUGUCAGAACUGUUGUACAUUCAAAUCAGUCUGUAAAGGUUUCAUUUCCCA
Long non-coding RNA from Carcharodon carcharias (great white shark), 460 nucleotides. RefSeq lists it as uncharacterized. The record is from RefSeq and is a predicted model, not a curated record. NCBI's taxonomy places the organism in Eukaryota, Metazoa, Chordata, Chondrichthyes, Lamniformes, Lamnidae. The transcript is spliced from 2 exons.